Long non-coding RNA from Anguilla rostrata (American eel), 1816 nucleotides. RefSeq lists it as uncharacterized. The record is from RefSeq and is a predicted model, not a curated record. The transcript has 2 exons. NCBI's taxonomy places the organism in Eukaryota, Metazoa, Chordata, Actinopteri, Anguilliformes, Anguillidae.
UUCACAAUUUCUGCAGGAAUUGUCUAGUUUUGGUUACUAGGGGAAACAUUUACAAGUAAUAUUUUUAUCCUUGAUUUCCAAUAAAAACAAAGACAGAUAAGUGCCAGCUCAUUAAUUUAAUUUUGAGGCGAGAAUAGCUGUUUCUACAAUUGGGAAAAAUAUGAUUGGUGGAGGGGACAGACAAGAUGUGGUUGUUGUAGUUAGGGGUUUGGUCAGGGACACAGUGAUGGUGGAGUUUCAGUAUUACAAAGCAAUGGAGAACCUGAGUGUGUUUCAGAGUGUGUGUGUUAUAAGGGUGUUUAAUGUUCAGUGGAGGGGUGGGAGCUAUUUUUGCAUAUGGAAUAGGAUGAGGGAAUGGAAUAAGUUUCCUUUGUGACAGAUUUGUGUAUUUUUCAUAUGAUCGUGGUUUUGUGUUUUAUUGUGUCUUUGUUUUUAUUUAUGUGAUGCUAUUGGUGUCUUGAGAGUGGAAAUAAAGGAUUGUUAAAAUUCAAAAUUCUGUUCUGCUGUUCUUACAGUGUGGACCAUGGAGGAGAGAACAGGAUCAAACCAGGGCCCAGGAAAUAUGGCUGUCAGCUCACACUGGAUCCAAACACAGCGCACAGAGAGCUGUCUCUGUCUGAGGGGAACAGGAGGGUGACACGCACACCGGGGAGAGAGCAGCCAUAUCCUGAUCAUCCAGAGAGAUUUGAGCACGACCCCCAGGUUGUGUGCAGAGAGAGUGUGUGUGAGCGCUGUUACUGGGAGGCUGAGUUCAGUGUGUCUGAGCGGGGGGAGGGACAGGUUCGUAUAGCAGUGACAGAUAAAGGAAUCAGCAGGAAAGGACGGGACUGUGGGUUUGGACGCAAUGAACACUCCUGGAGUCUGGACCGCAGUAUUACUAUUAACUCUGGUAGAUCCAGAGGCUCUGAUGAAUUCAGAUACCCUGGUGAAUUCUCUGUCAUGCACAAUUGGAGCGGACUACUCGUACAUGCCUCCCCCUACUGCAGAGCAGGAGUGUUUCAUGGUGGUAGAGGAGUUUGUGUGUACAGGGUAGGAGUGUGUGUGGACCGUCCGGCCGGCACUCUGUCCUUCUACAGUGUCUCUGACUCUGACACACUGACCCUCCUGCACAGAUUCCACACACACUUCACUCAACACACACCCCUCUGUGCUGGAUUUACAGUGUGGAACACCUCAGUGUCCCUCUGCCAACUGGAGUAGAGACAUACACACUCGCAUACACACACACACACACACACACACACACCACACUCAUAUAUCCACUCACACACACACACCACACACACUCAUGUGUGCGCACACACUCGUAUAUACACAUACACACGUACACACACACACCACACUCAUAUACACAUACACACACACACACACCACACUCAUAUACACAUACACAUGCACACACACACACGCACUACACUCAUAUACCCACUCACAUACAUUCAUAUGCACACACACUCAAAAACGCAUACACACACACACACACGCCUCACUCAUAUACCCACUCACACAUACACACACUGAGAUACUCAUAGACACACACACACCCACACCUACACACACAUCCACACACACACACACUUCACUCAACACACACCUGUCUGUGCUGGAUUUAGAGUGUGUGACUCCUCAGUGUCCCUUUGCUCACUAAAGUAGAGACACACGCACACACACACACACAUACACACACACUCUCUCUCUCUCUCUCUCUCUCUCACACUCACACACACACACACUGAUGUACACGCAUGCACACACUCAUGCACACACACUCUCUCACGCCCAAUCACACACAUGCACACACACACCUACACACAUG